This 499-nucleotide ribosomal RNA is filed under the name uncultured Glomeromycotina. RNAcentral's name for it is "partial small subunit ribosomal RNA". It matches the Rfam family "Eukaryotic small subunit ribosomal RNA", at positions 591 to 1092 of the family's 1831-position model. Lineage: Eukaryota; Fungi; Glomeromycota. The record is from RNAcentral.
CCAAUAGCGUAUAUUAAAGUUGUUGCAGUUAAAAAGCUCGUAGUUGAAUUUCGGGAUCAAGGAAUCGGUCAUGCCUCGGUAUGUACUGGUUUUAUUGGUUCUCACCUUCUAAAGAACCAUAAUGUCAUUCAUUUGAUGUUAUGGGGAAUUAGGACUGUUACCUUGAAAAAAUUAGAGUGUUUAAAGCAGGCUUACGCUUGAAUACAUUAGCAUGGAAUAAUGAAAUAGGACAUCAGAUUCUAUUUUGUUGGUUUCUAGGAUCGAUGUAAUGAUUAAUAGGGAUAGUUGGGGGCAUUAGUAUUCAAUUGUCAGAGGUGAAAUUCUUGGAUUUAUUGAAGACUAACUACUGCGAAAGCAUUUGCCAAGGAUGUUUUCAUUAAUCAAGAACGAAAGUUAGGGGAUCGAAGACGAUCAGAUACCGUCGUAGUCUUAACCAUAAACUAUGCCGACUAGGGAUCGGAUGAUGUUAAUUUUUUAAUGACUCAUUCGGCGCCUUACG